Molecule: ribosomal RNA, 253 nt
Filed under: uncultured bacterium
Lineage: Bacteria
Description: partial 16S ribosomal RNA
Rfam family: Bacterial small subunit ribosomal RNA
Source: RNAcentral
UACGUAGGUGGCGAGCGUUGUCCGGAUUUACUGGGCGUAAAGGGAGCGUAGGCGGAUUUUUAAGUGAGAUGUGAAAUACCCGGGCUCAACUUGAGUGCUGCAUUUCAAACUGGAAGUCUAGAGUGCAGGAGAGGAGAAUGGAAUUCCUAGUGUAGCGGUGAAAUGCGUAGAGAUUAGGAAGAACACCAGUGGCGAAGGCGAUUCUCUGGACUGUAACUGACGCUGAGGCUCGAAAGCGUGGGGAGCAAACAGG